RNAcentral lists this long non-coding RNA (253 nucleotides) under Chrysemys picta bellii (western painted turtle). RNAcentral describes it as "lncRNA (ENSCPBG00000012588.1)". The record is from RNAcentral. Lineage: Eukaryota; Metazoa; Chordata; Testudines; Emydidae.
GACAACAGCACUCAGACUGCCUCUGCCCUGCCGCAGCCCAGAUUACUGCGUGCUGGCAACGGACAUGGGGGGAAGCUGAGACAACACCGCUCCUCCGAGCAGGGAGCUGGCUUGAAUGAAGACGACAGCUCUCAUGAGGUGAGGGUUAGGUUUUCCAGCACCGGGGCUAUGAUCUGGGACGGAGGAGACUCAGUGAGCUGUCAGAUCUUAUGAUCUCACCAGUAGGUACUACUGCCUUUGAGAUAAUCACCUC